AACUUUCAACAACGGAUCUCUNGGUUCNGGCAUCGAUGAAGAACGCAGCAAAAUGCGAUAAGUAAUGUGAAUCGCAGAAUUCAGUGAAUCAUCGAAUCUUUGAACGCACAUUGCGCCCGCCAGUAUUCUGGCGGGCAUGCCUGUUCGAGC
This 150-nucleotide ribosomal RNA is filed under the name Fusarium pseudograminearum. RNAcentral's name for it is "5.8S ribosomal RNA". It matches the Rfam family "5.8S ribosomal RNA". From Rfam's summary of the family: 5.8S ribosomal RNA (5.8S rRNA) is a component of the large subunit of the eukaryotic ribosome. It is transcribed by RNA polymerase I as part of the 45S precursor that also contains 18S and 28S rRNA. Functionally, it is thought that 5.8S rRNA may be involved in ribosome translocation. Lineage: Eukaryota; Fungi; Ascomycota; Sordariomycetes; Hypocreales; Nectriaceae. The record is from RNAcentral.